This 47-nucleotide transfer RNA is filed under the name Cratoneuron filicinum. RNAcentral's name for it is "partial tRNA-Phe". The stretch from base 8 to 47 matches the Rfam family "tRNA", at positions 1 to 39 of the family's 71-position model. From Rfam's summary of the family: Transfer RNA (tRNA) molecules are approximately 80 nucleotides in length. Their secondary structure includes four short double-helical elements and three loops (D, anti-codon, and T loops). Further hydrogen bonds mediate the characteristic L-shaped molecular structure. tRNAs have two regions of fundamental functional importance: the anti-codon, which is responsible for specific mRNA codon recognition, and the 3' end, to which the tRNAs corresponding amino acid is attached (by aminoacyl-tRNA synthetases). tRNAs cope with the degeneracy of the genetic code in two manners: having more than one tRNA (with a specific anti-codon) for a particular amino acid; and 'wobble' base-pairing, i.e. permitting non-standard base-pairing at the 3rd anti-codon position. Lineage: Eukaryota; Viridiplantae; Streptophyta; Bryopsida; Hypnales; Amblystegiaceae. The record is from RNAcentral. RNAcentral also lists the same sequence under 3 other names.
AAAAAAAGCCGGAAUAGCUCAGUUGGUAGAGCAGAGGACUGAAAAUC